This 226-nucleotide ribosomal RNA is filed under the name uncultured bacterium. RNAcentral describes it as "partial 16S ribosomal RNA". It matches the Rfam family "Bacterial small subunit ribosomal RNA", at positions 264 to 504 of the family's 1533-position model. The record is from RNAcentral.
CCCACCAAAGCGACGAUCAGUAGCCGGCCUGAGAGGGUGGAAAACGGCCACAUUGGGACUGAGACACGGCCCAGACUCCUACGGGAGGCAGCAGUAGGGAAUAUUGCACAAUGGGGGAAACCCUGAUGCAGCGACGCCGCGUGAGCGAAGAAGUAUCUCGGUAUGUAAAGCUCUAUCAGCAGGGAAGAAAAUGACGGUACCUGACUAAGAAGCACCGGCUAAAUAC